UUUACCCUACGGGGGGCAGCAGUGGGGAAUAUUGGGCAAUGGGCGCAAGCCUGACCCAGCAACGCCGCGUGAAGGAAGAAGGCUUUCGGGUUGUAAACUUCUUUUAUCAGGGACGAAGCAAGUGACGGUACCUGAUGAAUAAGCCACGGCUAACUACGUGCCAGCAGCCGCGGUAAUACGUAGGUGGCAAGCGUUAUCCGGAUUUACUGGGUGUAAAGGGCGUGUAGGCGGGAGUGCAAGUCAGAUGUGAAAACUAUGGG
RNAcentral lists this ribosomal RNA (260 nucleotides) under uncultured bacterium. RNAcentral describes it as "partial 16S ribosomal RNA". It matches the Rfam family "Bacterial small subunit ribosomal RNA", at positions 333 to 607 of the family's 1533-position model. The record is from RNAcentral.